This is an RNA transcript of Asparagus officinalis (garden asparagus), 656 nucleotides long. It is a transcript of the gene named 40S ribosomal protein S12-like, with no coding region annotated. The transcript is spliced from 5 exons. The record is from RefSeq and is a predicted model, not a curated record. NCBI's taxonomy places the organism in Eukaryota, Viridiplantae, Streptophyta, Magnoliopsida, Asparagales, Asparagaceae.
AGAGAUCACCUAUAUACUCUCUUUUAUGUUUUCGUUUCCCCCUCCUCCCAAACCCUAGAGCUCCGCCUACCUCCAUUUCUCUCGACUCAGUCAAAAUGGCGGAUGAGGUUCCUGUUGAGGCACCCACUCUUGGAGAGCCCAUGGAUGUCAUGACUGCCUUGCAGAUUGUGUUGAAGAAGUCGUUGGCUCAUGAUGGGCUCGUUCGUGGUCUCCACGAGGGGGCCAAGGCUAUUGAGAAGCAUGCUGCACAGCUUUGCGUGCUUGCGGAAGAUUGUGACCAACCGGACUAUGUCAAGCUGGUGAAAGCUCUUUGUACUGAUCACAAUGUGCACUUGGUGACUGUUCCUAGUGCUAAAACUCUUGGAGAGUGGGCUGGGCUUUGCAAGAUUGAUUCCGAGGGCAAGGCAAGAAAGGUUGUUGGGUGCUCUUGUGUCGUUGUCAAGGACUACGGGGAGGAGUCAGAGGGACUUAACAUCAUCCAGGGCUAUGUGAAGCCGGAAUGAGUCGAUUUUAUUGUUUUAGCUAGCAGUGUGGCAUCUAGAAAUUUUGAAACCCUGUUAUUUACUUUGCCUAUGGUUGAGGUUUUAAAUUAGUUUGUUUUGCUUUGUAAAACAUUACUUCUUUAAUUUUAUGUUAGAAUUCUAUAUUCUGGUUAA